ACUCCUACGGGAGGCAGCAGUAGGGAAUCUUCCACAAUGGGUGCAAACCUGAUGGAGCAAUGCCGCGUGAGUGAAGAAGGUCUUCGGAUCGUAAAGCUCUGUUGUUAGAGAAGAACACGUGCUAGGUAACUACUAGCGCCUUGACGGUAUCUAACCAGAAAGUCACGGCUAACUACGUGCCAGCAGCCGCGGUAAUACGUAGGUGACAAGCGUUGUCCGGAUUUAUUGGGCGUAAAGGGAGCGCAGGCGGUCUGUUUAGUCUAAUGUGAAAGCCCACGGCUUAACCGUGGAACGGCAUUGGAAACUGACAGACUUGAAUGUAGAAGAGGAAAAUGGAAUUCCAAGUGUAGCGGUGGAAUGCGUAGAUAUUUGGAGGAACACCAGUGGCGAAGGCGAUUUUCUGGUCUAACAUUGACGCUGAGGCUCGAAAGCGUGGGGAGCGAACAGGAUUAGAAACCCUUGUAGUCCC
This 469-nucleotide ribosomal RNA is filed under the name uncultured organism. RNAcentral's name for it is "partial 16S ribosomal RNA". It matches the Rfam family "Bacterial small subunit ribosomal RNA", at positions 335 to 797 of the family's 1533-position model. The record is from RNAcentral.